ACAAGUACCGUGAGGGAAAGUUGAAAAGCACUUUGAAGAGAGAGUUAAAGAGGACGUGAAACCGAUGAGAUGGAAACGGACAGAGCUAGCGUAUCUGGCUUGCAUUCAGCUUAUGCGGUCGCUGCCGAUGCGUCGCUGACCUCCAGAUUGGGGCUUUGACUAGUCGGUCGGUGGCUGUGUGGUGCAUUUGCAAGUGGAGUGCGUCGAGGCACUUGGGAUGGCGGAAUGAACUUGGCUUUGAGGCCAGCUUGCUGGUACCCGGGCCAGGGGAUUUCUGUUCGUUCUAGGUGUUUUACGGUAGAACAAGGCUUUGCGAGCCUGGUUGGGUGCCGAGCUGGGUGUCGGUGGCGGUCGCAUGCGACACGUACUGUGCCACCAGUUCGGUCCUGGCCGAGCUCACUCCCUGUUCAAUCUCGGCGUAAAAGCUGGUCAUCUUUCCGACCCGUCUUGAAACUCGGACCAAGGAGUUUAUCGUGUGCGCGAGUCAUUGGGCGUUGAAAACCCAAAGGCGCAAUGAAAGUAAAUGUAUCCAUCCGGAGCUGAUGUGCGACCCUGGUCACUGCGGUGGCCAGGAGCAGCAUGGCCCCAUCCUGACUGCUUGCAGUGGGGUGGAGGAAGAGCGUACGCGAUGAGACCCGAAAGAUGGUGAACUAUUCCCGAGCAGGAUGAAGCCAGAGGAAACUCUGGUGGAAGUCCGGAGCGAUUCUGACGUGCAAAUCGAUCGUCUGACUUGGGUAUAGGGGCGAAAGACUAAUCGAACCAUCUAGUAGCUGGUUCCUUCCGA
This 784-nucleotide ribosomal RNA is filed under the name Pratylenchus pseudocoffeae. Its description in RNAcentral is "eukaryotic LSU rRNA". It matches the Rfam family "Eukaryotic large subunit ribosomal RNA", at positions 344 to 964 of the family's 3401-position model. The record is from RNAcentral. Lineage: Eukaryota; Metazoa; Nematoda; Chromadorea; Rhabditida; Pratylenchidae.